This 241-nucleotide ribosomal RNA is filed under the name uncultured Actinomycetales bacterium. RNAcentral's name for it is "partial 16S ribosomal RNA". It matches the Rfam family "Bacterial small subunit ribosomal RNA", at positions 89 to 334 of the family's 1533-position model. The record is from RNAcentral. Lineage: Bacteria; Bacillati; Actinomycetota; Actinomycetes; Actinomycetales.
ACUCGAGUGGCGAACGGGUGAGUAACACGUGGGUGAUCUGCCCUGCACUUCGGGAUAAGCUUGGGAAACUGGGUCUAAUACCGGAUAGGAGCCAUCUUUAGUGUGGUGGUUGGAAAGUUUUUCGGUGUAGGAUGAGCUCGCGGCCUAUCAGCCUGUUGGUGGGGUAAUGGCUUACCAAGGCUUUGACGGGUAGCCGGCCUGAGAGGGUGACCGGCCACAUUGGGACUGAGAUACGGCCCAG